AGGGAAUCUUCCACAAUGGACGCAAGUCUGAUGGAGCAACGCCGCGUGAGUGAAGAAGGUCUUCGGAUCGUAAAGCUCUGUUGUUGGUGAAGAAGGAUAGAGGCAGUAACUGGUCUUUAUUUGACGGUAAUCAACCAGAAAGUCACGGCUAACUACGUGCCAGCAGCCGCGGUAAUACGUAGGUGGCAAGCGUUGUCCGGAUUUAUUGGGCGUAAAGCGAGCGCAGGCGGAAUGAUAAGUCUGAUGUGAAAGCCCACGGCUCAACCGUGGAACUGCAUCGGAAACUGUCAUUCUUGAGUGCAGAAGAGGAGAGUGGAACUCCAUGUGUAGCGGUGGAAUGCGUAGAUAUAUGGAAGAACACCAGUGGCGAAGGCGGCUCUCUGGUCUGCAACUGACGCUGAGGCUCGAAAGCAUGGGUAGCGAACAGGAUUAGAUACCCUGGUAGUCCAUGCCGUAAACGAUGAGCGCUAGGUGUUGGGGACUUUCCGGUCCUCA
This 495-nucleotide ribosomal RNA is filed under the name uncultured bacterium. RNAcentral describes it as "partial 16S ribosomal RNA". It matches the Rfam family "Bacterial small subunit ribosomal RNA", at positions 356 to 842 of the family's 1533-position model. The record is from RNAcentral.